CAUAUCAUUGCGACUUAAAAGUAAAUUUUUAAAUAGAUAGUGCACCUUAAGUGUCCUAACCGUUCCGGGUCCGCUAUACAAGGCGCUGCUGGCUCUGUGUACCUGUGUUUUACAUAAAUCCUCAAACCCCCAUAUUGGGGUUUCAGUACGGGGUUUAAGAAGAUUUCAGUACGGGGUUUAAGAAGAUUUCAGUACGGGGUUUAAGAAGAUUUCAGUACGGGGUUUAAGAAGAUUUCAGUACGGGAUUUAGAAGACCUAGGCUUCUCGCUUGGCUACCUACUGCUGCCUACCCUCUGCUUCGCUUCCGCUUCGGACCUACAGCUGAGCACGGCGACCUACAACCCUGCCCGUGGCUGACGACCUGUUCCACCGGCAUCUGACCAUCCAGGGGAGUGCUUGAACUACGCAGUGAAAUCAGAUACUAGGCCGACACACCACGACCCGUUCUACCGACUUAGGUGGCCUGCGGCCAUCAAUAAACUAUUUUCGUUGGACCUA
Molecule: non-coding RNA, 498 nt
Organism: Plutella xylostella (diamondback moth)
Lineage: Eukaryota; Metazoa; Arthropoda; Insecta; Lepidoptera; Plutellidae
Source: RefSeq, a predicted model, not a curated record